RNAcentral lists this ribosomal RNA (465 nucleotides) under uncultured bacterium. Its description in RNAcentral is "partial 16S ribosomal RNA". It matches the Rfam family "Bacterial small subunit ribosomal RNA", at positions 339 to 795 of the family's 1533-position model. The record is from RNAcentral.
CUACGGGAUGCAGCAGUGGGGAAUAUUGGACAAUGGGGGAAACCCUGAUCCAGCAAUGCCGCGUGUGUGAAGAAGGCCUGCGGGUUGUAAAGCACUUUCGGUUGGGAGGACUGCUUCUAGCACUAAUAUUGUUGGAAGUUGACGUUACCUUCAGAAGAAGCACCGGCUAACUCCGUGCCAGCAGCCGCGGUAAUGACGGAGGGUGCAAGGUUAAUCGGAAUUACUGGGCGUAAAGCGCGCGUAGGCGGCUAGAUCAGUCGGGUGUGAAAGCCCCGGGCUUAACCUGGGAACUGCAUCCGAUACUGUCUAGCUUGAGUACAGGAGAGGAGAGUGGAAUUCCACAUGUAGCGGUGAGAUGCGUAGAUAUGUGGAGGAACACCAAUGGCGAAGGCAGCUCUCUGGCCUGAUACUGACGCUGAGGUGCGAAAGCGUGGGGAGCAAACAGGAUUAGAUACCCUCGUAGUC